Molecule: transfer RNA, 24 nt
Filed under: Coffea eugenioides
Lineage: Eukaryota; Viridiplantae; Streptophyta; Magnoliopsida; Gentianales; Rubiaceae
Also listed under: 1 other name
Description: partial tRNA-Phe
Source: RNAcentral
GGAUAGCUCAGAUGGUAGAGCAGA